AACGAACGCUGGCGGCAGGCCUAACACAUGCAAGUCGAGCGGACCUUUCGGGGUCAGCGGCGGACGGGUGAGUAACGCGUGGGAAUAUGCCCUUCUCUACGGAAUAGUCCUGGGAAACUGGGGGUAAUACCGUAUACGCCCUUUGGGGGAAAGAUUUAUCGGGGAAGGAUUAGCCCGCGUUGGAUUAGGUAGUUGGUGGGGUAAUGGCCUACCAAGCCGACGAUCCAUAGCUGGUUUGAGAGGAUGAUCAGCCACACUGGGACUGAGACACGGCCCAGACUCCUACGGGAGGCAGCAGUGGGGAAUCUUAGACAAUGGGGGCAACCCUGAUCUAGCCAUGCCGCGUGAGUGAUGAAGGCCUUAGGGUUGUAAAGCUCUUUCAGCUGGAAAGAUAAUGACGGUACCAGCAGAAGAAGCCCCGGCUAACUCCGUG
RNAcentral lists this ribosomal RNA (433 nucleotides) under uncultured bacterium. RNAcentral describes it as "partial 16S ribosomal RNA". It matches the Rfam family "Bacterial small subunit ribosomal RNA", at positions 29 to 507 of the family's 1533-position model. The record is from RNAcentral.